This 497-nucleotide ribosomal RNA is filed under the name uncultured bacterium. RNAcentral's name for it is "partial 16S ribosomal RNA". It matches the Rfam family "Bacterial small subunit ribosomal RNA", at positions 28 to 507 of the family's 1533-position model. The record is from RNAcentral.
GAUGAACGCUGGCGGCGUGCCUAAUACAUGCAAGUCGAGCGAACAGACGAGGAGCUUGCUCCUCUGACGUUAGCGGCGGACGGGUGAGUAACACGUGGAUAACCUACCUAUAAGACUGGGAUAACUUCGGGAAACCGGAGCUCAUACCGGAUAACAUGUUGAACCGCAUGGUUCAACAGUGAAAGACGGUCUUGCUGUCACUUAUAGAUGGAUCCGCGCCGCAUUAGCUAGUUGGUAAGGUAACGGCUUACCAAGGCAACGAUGCGUAGCCGACCUGAGAGGGUGAUCGGCCACACUGGAACUGAGACACGGUCCAGACUCCUACGGGAGGCAGCAGUAGGGAAUCUUCCGCAAUGGGCGAAAGCCUGACGGAGCAACGCCGCGUGAGUGAUGAAGGUCUUCGGAUCGUAAAACUCUGUUAUUAGGGAAGAACAAAUGUGUAAGUAACUAUGCACGUCUUGACGGUACCUAAUCAGAAAGCCACGGCUAACUACGUG